RNAcentral lists this ribosomal RNA (460 nucleotides) under uncultured bacterium. RNAcentral's name for it is "partial 16S ribosomal RNA". It matches the Rfam family "Bacterial small subunit ribosomal RNA", at positions 338 to 795 of the family's 1533-position model. The record is from RNAcentral.
CCUACGGGAGGCAGCAGUGAGGAAUAUUGGUCAAUGGCCGCAAGCCUGAACCAGCCAAGCAGCGUGAAGGAUGACUGCCCUACGGGUUGUAAACUUCUUUUAUCAAGGCAUAAAGUGAGGCACGUGUGCCUUUUUGUAUGUACUUUAUGAAUAAGGAUCGGCUAACUCCGUGCCAGCAGCCGCGGUAAUACGGAGGAUCCGAGCGUUAUCCGGAUUUAUUGGGUUUAAAGGGAGCGUAGAUGGGGUGUUAAGUCAGUUGUGAAAGGUCGCGGCUCAACCGUAAAAUUGCAAUUGAUACUGGCAGUCUUGAGAACAGUAGAGGUAGGCGGAAUGCGUGGUGUAGCGGUGAAAUGCUUAGAUAUUACGAAGAACUCCGAUUGCGAAGGCAGCUUACUAAACUGCCACUGACAUUGAUGCACGAAAGUGUGGGUAUCAAACAGGAUGAGAUACCCCUGUAGUC